GUGGGGAAUAUUGCACAAUGGGCGCAAGCCUGAUGCAGCGACGCCGCGUGAGGGAUGGAGGCCUUCGGGUUGUAAACCUCUUUUAUCGGGGAGCAAGCGAGAGUGAGUUUACCCGUUGAAUAAGCACCGGCUAACUACGUGCCAGCAGCCGCGGUAAUACGUAGGGUGCAAGCGUUAUCCGGAAUUAUUGGGCGUAAAGGGCUCGUAGGCGGUUCGUCGCGUCCGGUGUGAAAGUCCAUCGCUUAACGGUGGAUCCGCGCCGGGUACGGGCGGGCUUGAGUGCGGUAGGGGAGACUGGAAUUCCCGGUGUAACGGUGGAAUGUGUAGAUAUCGGGAAGAACACCAAUGGCGAAGGCAGGUCUCUGGGCCGUUACUGACGCUGAGGAGCGAAAGCGUGGGGAGCGAACAGGAUUAGAAACCCGGGUAGUCC
RNAcentral lists this ribosomal RNA (430 nucleotides) under uncultured bacterium. Its description in RNAcentral is "bacterial SSU rRNA". It matches the Rfam family "Bacterial small subunit ribosomal RNA", at positions 354 to 796 of the family's 1533-position model. The record is from RNAcentral.